Molecule: ribosomal RNA, 305 nt
Filed under: uncultured bacterium
Lineage: Bacteria
Description: bacterial SSU rRNA
Rfam family: Bacterial small subunit ribosomal RNA
Source: RNAcentral
CCUACGGGGGGCAGCAGUGAGGAAUAUUGGUCAAUGGGAGAGAUCCUGAACCAGCCAAGCCGCGUGAGGGAAGACGGCCCUAUGGGUUGUAAACUUCUUUUAUAUGGGAAUAAAGUUUUCCACGUGUGGAAUUUUGUAUGUACCAUAUGAAUAAGGAUCGGCUAACUCCGUGCCAGCAGCCGCGGUAAUACGGAGGAUCCGAGCGUUAUCCGGAUUUAUUGGGUUUAAAGGGAGCGUAGGUGGAUUGUUAAGUCAGUUGUGAAAGUUUGCGGCUCAACCGUAAAAUUGCAGUUGAAACUGGCAGU